GAUGGCAAGGUAGCUUUAUGUUUGAAAUGUAAUCUAAACUGAGACCAUAUUUUAAGUGUUGCACUCACUACUGGAUUAUUGGUUAAAUACUUUUUACUAAAAGGCGCUGGAGCGCACACCAAUGUUGCUAAACUGCCAAGAGGACAUGCACUUUGCUCCAUCAAUGCCCAUACUGGUUGACUCUGAGUAGGUGACAUCCAGAAUUGGAUUUUAUGGACAUUGGCGGCCCAGUAGUAGUUAAUAAAGUUUGGGAGACCCAAACCUCCUUCGUUCUUAUGCCUUUGCAAAAACUCUUUCCUGAUUCGUGGAACUGUUUUGUUCCAAAUAAAGGAGGAUAUGAGCUUAUCUAAAUCUUUAAAGUAUGCCUUGGGAAUAAACACAGGUAGAGUCUGAAACAAAAACAAACAUUUUGGUAGAACAGUCAUUUUAACGGAGUUAACUCGCCCUGCCAAUGAUAAAGGCAAAGAGGCCCAGCUGGACAGGUCACUCUUUGUGCUAUCUAACAAGGCCCUAAAGUUUUUUUUGAACAGAUCUUUAAAGUUACUCCUCACUGUAACACCUAAGUAAGUGAAGCUAUCACGUAUUACUUGAAAUGGAUAUGAGCCAAGAGACAUCCGUCUAGCCUGCUUAUUCCUAGGGAAAAUCAAGCUUUUGGUCAGAUUUACUUUAUAACCAGAUAUCCUCCCAAACUCUGAUAUUAUUUGCAGUACUUCAGGCAAGGAGCUAUUUGGGUUCGAAAGGAAAAACAUUGAGUCAUCGGCCUACAUUGAAACCUCAUGUACACAAUCCCCUCUCUUUACCCCUGUGACUAACGGAGAUCCCCUAAUUGCAACAGCAAGUGGCUCAAUGGCAAUGCCAAAGAGCAGGGGGGAUAGAGGACAUCCCUGCCUGGUGCCUCUACAAAUGGGGAAAUAUUCUGACAACAUCUUAUCAGUUCGCACAGCAGCCUGAGGGGCAGUAUGAAGUAUUUUAACCCAGGCUUGAAACAUAGGGCCAAACCUAAACUUAUCCAGUACCUUAUAUAAAUAAUUGUGUUCAAUACGGUCGAAUGCUUUCUGUGCAUCUAAUGAAAUUAGUACUUCUGGGACAGGGGAUACAUCAGAGGAAUAGAGUAAAUUAAACAAUCUCCGCGAAUUGCUAGACAAAUGUCUACCCACCACAAAUCCUGUCUGAUCUACAUGUAUAAUUUUGGGCAAAACAGAUUCAAGUCUAAGGGCAAGUAUUUUUGUGAGUAUUUUAUAGUCACACCCUAAUAAACUUACUGGCCUGUAAGAGCCACACUGUAAAGGAUCCUUAUUCUUCUUAAGCAACACAGAUAUUAUAGCUUGGAUCAUUGUGGGAGGUAAAGCAUUUAUUAAAACACUCUUCAUACACUUCUAAUAGGAUUGGGGCCACUUUUGCUGAAAAUUUCUUAUAAAACUCAAUGGGAAAACUAUCGGGUCCUGGGGCUUUACCUGAUUUUAGACAUGUUAUUACACUAACAAUUUCCUCCAAGCUAAUAGGUUGGUCCAAAGCUACUUUAUCUGACUCCUCUAUGCCCUUCAUCUCCAAUCUAUCUAACAUCUGGGUUAUUGUGCUAUCACUAGCCAUCUCACAAGUAUACAGAUUCUUAUAGAAUUGCGUGAAUUGCUUAUUUAUUUGCCCCAGAUCACAAGUAACUGUACCAUCAUCCAAUGCCAUUUCUGUAAUUUGACUUGCAGAGACAGAUUUCCUAAGCUGAUGACGUAAUAGCUUGCCUGCCCUUUCCCCAUGUUCAUAAUGCUCACUGCGGGACCGCAUAUAUAGGUCCUGCAUUUGGCUCGUUGACAUAAUAUCAUAUUCUGUUUGUAGCAGAAGCCUCUCCUUGUGAAGGUCAGGUGAGAGUGCAGAGGCUGUUGCCUGCGCUGUCGAUCAAUUUCCUUUAUCUUGUCCUGCAAUUCUUUCUGACGCGCAGAUAAUCUCUUGUUCUCGCUUGCUGUGUAUGAAAUAAUUAUACCUCUAAUGUAUGCCUUCAUAGUCUCCCACAACAUGCAUCUGCCCACUUCUGGGGAAUUAUUAGUUUGUAGGAAAAAAUCUAUUUGAUCAGACAGAUAUCUAACAAAGUCGUCAUUUGAAAGCAAACGUGGGUUUAAGCGCCAGACACGCUGAGGUGACACCUGCCCUGGGAAGCUAAGCAUCAUAUUAACUGGGCCAUGAUCAGAAAUAACAAUAGCUUCAUAACUGAUCGAUCUAAACAUAGGCAGCAAUGAAUCAUCUAUAAGAAAGUUAUCUAUCCUGGAGUAUGAUUGGUGUACAGGGGAAAAAAAGGAAAAAGCUUUAGAACGCGGGUUAUGGUGUCUCCAUGGGUCGGUAACUCCAUAUACUUGCAUAAAAGAAUUUACUGCCUGGGCCGCCUUGCUAAUAAUUUUACUGGUAGGGUUAGAGCGGUCUAAAUUAGGACACAAAACACAAUUGAAAUCGCCCCCUAGUAUCAGUUUGUGUGAGUCCAAAGCUGGAAGUUGUGAAAAAAACUGUUGAAAAAAACCUGCAUCAUCCCAGUUGGGUGCAUAGACAUUGGCUAGCACAGCAGGUGUGCCAAAUAAUUUCCCUUUAAUUAUUACAAAUCUACCAUUUCUAUCUGAGAUAACCUCACUCUCUGAGAACUGAACUCCAGUAUGAAUUAAGAUGGCAACACCUCGGGAUUUGCAAUUAAACUUAGAAUGGUACACCCCUGAGUAACCUUUCUUAUGGAGUCUGCCAUUAUCU
Molecule: long non-coding RNA, 2724 nt
Organism: Alosa sapidissima (American shad)
Lineage: Eukaryota; Metazoa; Chordata; Actinopteri; Clupeiformes; Clupeidae
Exons: 3
Source: RefSeq, a predicted model, not a curated record